Molecule: ribosomal RNA, 492 nt
Filed under: uncultured bacterium
Lineage: Bacteria
Description: partial 16S ribosomal RNA
Rfam family: Bacterial small subunit ribosomal RNA
Source: RNAcentral
AGUGAACGCUGGCGGUAGGCCUAACACAUGCAAGUCGAACGGCAGCACAGUAAGAGCUUGCUCUUACGGGUGGCGAGUGGCGGACGGGUGAGGAAUACAUCGGAAUCUACUUUUUCGUGGGGGAUAACGUAGGGAAACUUACGCUAAUACCGCAUACGACCUACGGGUGAAAGCAGGGGAUCUUCGGACCUUGCGCGAUUGAAUGAGCCGAUGUCGGAUUAGCUAGUUGGCGGGGUAAAGGCCCACCAAGGCGACGAUCCGUAGCUGGUCUGAGAGGAUGACCGGCCACAGUGGAACUGGGACGCGGCCCGGCCCCCUACGGGAGCAGGCAGGGGGAAUUUUUGGACAAGGGGCGCAGGCCUGACCCACCCAUCCCGGGGGGGGAAAGAGGGCCUUGGGGUUGAAAACCCUUUUUGUGGGAAAAAAAAAGCAGCAGCUAAAUCCCCCCCUGUUCUGAGGUUCCCAAAAAAAAAGCACCCGGCUAACUUGGUG